UACAGAGGGUGCAAGCGUUAAUCGGAAUGACUGGGCGUAAAGCGUGUGUAGGUGGUUAGAUAAGUUAGAUGUGAAAUCCCCGGGCUUAACCUGGGAACUGCGUUUAAGACUGUCUAGCUAGAGUACUGUAGAGGAUAGUGGAAUUUCCAGUGUAGCGGUGAAAUGCGUAGAUAUUGGAAGGAACACCAGUGGCGAAGGCGACUAUCUGGAUAGAUACUGACACUGAGACACGAAAGCGUGGGGAGCAAAC
This 250-nucleotide ribosomal RNA is filed under the name uncultured bacterium. Its description in RNAcentral is "partial 16S ribosomal RNA". It matches the Rfam family "Bacterial small subunit ribosomal RNA", at positions 524 to 773 of the family's 1533-position model. The record is from RNAcentral.